ACGUAGGGUCCAAGCGUUGUCCGGAUUUACUGGGCGUAAAGAGCACGUAGGCGGCUUGUUAAGUGUGAAGUGAAAUCUCCAGGGCUCAACCCGGAAACCGCUUCGCAUACUGGCAAGCUAGAGGAAUGCAGAGGUAAGUGGAAUUCCUGGUGUAGCGGUGAAAUGCAUAGAUAUCAGGAGGAACACCCAUGGCGAAGGCAGCUUACUGGGCAUUAUCUGACGCUGAGGUGCGAAAGCGUGGGGAGCAAACAGGA
RNAcentral lists this ribosomal RNA (254 nucleotides) under uncultured prokaryote. Its description in RNAcentral is "partial 16S ribosomal RNA". It matches the Rfam family "Bacterial small subunit ribosomal RNA", at positions 525 to 777 of the family's 1533-position model. The record is from RNAcentral.